GAUUAACGCUGGCGGCGGGCAUAAUACAUGCAAGUUGAACGGCAGCACAGGUAGCACUACUGGCUGACGAGUGGCGCACGGGUGCGUAACACGUAUGCAACCUACCCUAUACAGGCGAAUAACAUUUCGAAAAGACGGCUCAUACACCGUAGUAUUACAUGAAGCCCUCUAUUUGUAAUUAAAGGUUUGUCGUUAUGUGAUGGGCAUGCGUCACCUUGGUUCGUUGGUAAGUUAGCGGCUUACCAAGACGACGAUGGGUAGGGGAUAUGAGAGGACGUACCACCACACCGGUAAUGAGAUCCGGACCAGAAUCGUACGGGAGGCAGCAGUAAGGAACACUGUGCGAUGGCGGCGAGGCUGACCCAGCCAUGCCGCGUGCAGGAAGCCGGCCUUAGGGGUUGUAAACUGCUUGUAAACGGCAAUAAUAGAGUGUACGCGUACAUUUAUGCAAGUACCGUAUGAAUAAGCAUCGGCUAACUCCGUG
RNAcentral lists this ribosomal RNA (484 nucleotides) under uncultured bacterium. RNAcentral describes it as "partial 16S ribosomal RNA". It matches the Rfam family "Bacterial small subunit ribosomal RNA", at positions 28 to 507 of the family's 1533-position model. The record is from RNAcentral.